CCCUUAGAUGUUCUGGGCCGCACGCGCGCUACACUGAUGCAUUCAACAAGCCUAGCCUUGACCGAGAGGUCCGGGUAAUCUUUGAAACUGCAUCGUGAUGGGGCUAGAUUAUUGCAAUUAUUAAUCUUCAACGAGGAAUGCCUAGUAAGCGUGAUUCAUCAAAUCGCGUUGAUUGCGUCCCUGCCCUUUGUACACACCGCCCGUCGCUCCUACCGAUUGAAUGUGUUGGUGAGGAGCUCGGAUUGGCAGCAGUUGGUGGUUCGCCACCGGCUAUUGCUGAGAAGUCCUCCAAACCGCCCCAUUUAGAGGAAGGAGAAGUCGUANCA
This 326-nucleotide ribosomal RNA is filed under the name uncultured eukaryote. RNAcentral's name for it is "partial 18S ribosomal RNA". It matches the Rfam family "Eukaryotic small subunit ribosomal RNA", at positions 1470 to 1796 of the family's 1831-position model. The record is from RNAcentral.